UACGAGGGGGGCGAGCGUUGUUCGGAAUUAUUGGGCGUAAAGGGUGCGUAGGCGGUUUGGUAAGUCUUUUGUGAAAUCUCUGGGCUCAACUCAGAGUCUGCAAGGGAAACUGCCGGGCUGGAGUGUGGGAGAGGUGAGUGGAAUUUCCGGUGUAGCGGUGAAAUGCGUAGAUAUCGGAAGGAACACCUGUGGCGAAAGCGGCUCACUGGACCACAACUGACGCUGAGGCACGAAAGCGUGGGGAGCAAACAGG
RNAcentral lists this ribosomal RNA (253 nucleotides) under uncultured bacterium. RNAcentral describes it as "partial 16S ribosomal RNA". It matches the Rfam family "Bacterial small subunit ribosomal RNA", at positions 524 to 776 of the family's 1533-position model. The record is from RNAcentral.